AGAGUUUGAUCCUGGCUCAGGACGAACGCUGGCGGCGCGCCUAACACAUGCAAGUCGAACGGGACUAUCUCGGAAGAAGUUUUCGGAUGGAUUUUGGGAUAGUUUAGUGGCGGACGGGUGAGUAACACGUGAGCAACCUGCCUUCGAGAGGGGAAUAACGGCUGGAAACGGUCGCUAAUACCGCAUAAUGUACGGAUGGGACAUCCUGUCUGUACCAAAGAUUUAUCGCUCGAAGAUGGGCUCGCGUCCGAUUAGGUAGUUGGUGAGGUAACGGCCCACCAAGCCGACGAUCGGUAGCCGGACUGAGAGGUUGAACGGCCACAUUGGGACUGAGACACGGCCCAGACUCCUACGGGAGGCAGCAGUGGGGGAUAUUGCACAAUGGGGGAAACCCUGAUGCAGCGACGCCGCGUGUGGGAAGACGGUCUUCUGGAUUGUAAACCACUGUCCCCAGGGACGAAAAUGACGGUACCUGGGGAGGAAGCUCCGGCUAACUACGUG
This 501-nucleotide ribosomal RNA is filed under the name uncultured Oscillospiraceae bacterium. RNAcentral describes it as "bacterial SSU rRNA". It matches the Rfam family "Bacterial small subunit ribosomal RNA", at positions 8 to 507 of the family's 1533-position model. Lineage: Bacteria; Bacillati; Bacillota; Clostridia; Eubacteriales; Oscillospiraceae. The record is from RNAcentral.